CGCGUAGGCGGCUUGGCAAGUGGAAGGUGAAAUCCCUCGGCUUAACCGAGGAACUGCCCUCCAAACUGCUUUGCUUGAGGCCGGGAGAGGUGAGUGGAAUUCCCAGUGUAGCGGUGAAAUGCGUAGAUAUUGGGAGGAACACCAGUGGCGAAGGCGGCUCACUGGACCGGUUCUGACGCUGAUGCGCGAAAGCGUGGGGAGCAAACA
RNAcentral lists this ribosomal RNA (207 nucleotides) under uncultured bacterium. RNAcentral describes it as "partial 16S ribosomal RNA". It matches the Rfam family "Bacterial small subunit ribosomal RNA", at positions 568 to 774 of the family's 1533-position model. The record is from RNAcentral.